Molecule: ribosomal RNA, 400 nt
Filed under: Pseudomonas aeruginosa
Lineage: Bacteria; Pseudomonadati; Pseudomonadota; Gammaproteobacteria; Pseudomonadales; Pseudomonadaceae
Description: bacterial SSU rRNA
Rfam family: Bacterial small subunit ribosomal RNA
Source: RNAcentral
GCAGGGGAGAGUUUGAUCCUGGCUCAGAUUGAACGCUGGCGGCAGGCCUAACACAUGCAAGUCGAGCGGAUGAAGGGAGCUUGCUCCUGGAUUCAGCGGCGGACGGGUGAGUAAUGCCUAGGAAUCUGCCUGGUAGUGGGGGAUAACGUCCGGAAACGGGCGCUAAUACCGCAUACGUCCUGAGGGAGAAAGUGGGGGAUCUUCGGACCUCACGCUAUCAGAUGAGCCUAGGUCGGAUUAGCUAGUUGGUGGGGUAAAGGCCUACCAAGGCGACGAUCCGUAACUGGUCUGAGAGGAUGAUCAGUCACACUGGAACUGAGACACGGUCCAGACUCCUACGGGAGGCAGCAGUGGGGAAUAUUGGACAAUGGGCGAAAGCCUGAUCCAGCCAUGCCGCGUG